AUUUUAAGCAAUUUUAUAAAUGAUUCUAAAAUACUAAUUAGAUUAGGAUGUGACCUAUUUGAGCAGUUAGAGUGGAUCACAAGGAUCAUUUUGAUAUGCGCAAAGCCAGGUUCAGUCCAGUAAUUUCAGCACAACCCGGGUGACAAGUUCCGUUCGAGUGGCAUUCUCUUUGGGCUUGUUUCUUCGAAUCUAGCCAGCCAGGAGGCGGGGUAUUUUGAUCAACCUACAGCUGAGAAGAUUACCUUAACUACAAAGCGGUUUGCUCUAGCAGUCGGAAAUUCGGAGGUUAUGUGACAAAUCAGGAAUACUACUCCAUGUGGAAUGCAGCAUGCCGUUCGUCGACAUCUCCCUACCUUUAGCGAAUACAAAUGGUGCAUGUUUCAGUACAACAUAAAAAAUGCUAUGCAAAGAUAGCUGAAAUUGAGGUUGGUACUAAGGCCAAUUUCCUCAAAUUUCAAACAAAACAAAUAA
Molecule: long non-coding RNA, 471 nt
Organism: Cydia amplana
Lineage: Eukaryota; Metazoa; Arthropoda; Insecta; Lepidoptera; Tortricidae
Exons: 2
Source: RefSeq, a predicted model, not a curated record